Erinaceus europaeus (western European hedgehog) is the source of this 2733-nucleotide long non-coding RNA. RefSeq lists it as uncharacterized. The transcript is spliced from 2 exons. Lineage: Eukaryota; Metazoa; Chordata; Mammalia; Eulipotyphla; Erinaceidae. The record is from RefSeq and is a predicted model, not a curated record.
ACUAGUCUGUUUAUGUGUCCCUGUAUAUUUUGCUAAACAUGCAUGCAUUAUUUGUUUAAGAGAAAAUAUAUACAGGGUAAAGAAGUGCCUUCCAGGGGAAAUGUAUGAAUUAAUUAGGUAAUUCAGUUUCACUUCUUAGUCAAAUGAUGGAAAUGAAUAUUUAAAAAAUAAGCCAUUGCAGUCAGGCAGGAAUGAGGUUUCCAGCAUGGGUUGUCUUCCUGUUGUUUUCUCCAGAUCUUUCAUCUAAUUGCUGGUCCUGGGGCAUGAGUAAGUACCUCCAGAGUUGGGACUGGUGGUUGCCACAUCCCCAGACUUACAAUGGACUGAUCCCUCAUUCAGUACUAAGCAGCAGGUAGAUACAGUUGUCAUGGUUUUCUGUAAUAAAGUAUGGUACCAGGAUGGCUAAUAGAACUAACACCCUCAAUCCAAACAAUACAAUGAGCAGGAUAGUUCCUUUAGGCAUUAGAAACAUUACUUUGCAGAUGUGCUUAAUUCAUAGGGGUGGUUAAUUCUUUGUUCGAUGUUUGUUUUGGUGAGUGACUGGAGUUUCUGCCAAAGUACAGGCUAAUAAGCAAGUAAAUGGUGUAUCUACUCAAAGUGGCAAUAGUAUUAUGUGCUUUAUUCAGAAAUCACUUUGUUCCCUUUGAUUUUCUGCUGUCAUUCCUCUUAUACAUUUAUCAGGGUAAAUUUGCUAAGCUUUCCCACUGAUAAUAUACUGGGAAAAUAGGCCAAAAGAUUCUGUUACCUGCAUUUUUAUUUUUGUUUAGUAAAUUGAAGGCUCAAUUGAUGUGUCCCUCAGUUGAAUAGGACAAGUACACAUCAACAUAAUACACAGAUGUAUCCGUUCUAGAAGUGAGGUCAACCUAAAUACUUUCCCCUGAAAGUCGUCAGAUCUUAAAACACUUGGGGAAGUGAUUUUAAAUGACAUUUUAACAUUUCUUGAAGGCUUUUUUUUUUUUUUUUUUUUUAAAGACAUUAGGGUCAACUCAGUUGUAUGGGGUAAUUUUUUAAAAAUACACCAAAGAUUCUAGUAUUUGGUAUGGUUGGGGGAAAAAAUGACUGCCACAUAUAAAAGAACUUUGAAAUAAUAUAAUUCAAUUAGUCAGGUUAAGUAUAAGGUCAGGGUAGCAUGAGUGCUAGUGAAACACCCUUGAGGUUUUUUAUUCUAAGUGCCUUCCCUCCUCAGUACAUUAAAAAGGUAAGGGUGAGAGACAAUCCUUCCCUUUGUGCCAGGCAGUGAAGUCCAUAGCCCAAGAGUUGUAAUAUCAAAGAGAAGGUGAUCCAGAAUUUAUUGGGGGAAGGGAGGACUUGUUAAGGGUUAUGUCCUAGGCUACAAAUGCUUUCCCUUAUAGCAGGCAAACUGCUUUAGGAGCAAUCUUGGCUUUCUGUUUUCCUUUCCAUUAUACUUUAGGCUAUAAUAACUGGUUUCUAUUAAAUUGCUUAAAUAGCCCAGGAGGUGGCUCAGUGGCUAAAGUAUUGGACUUCAAAGCAUGAGGUUCUGAGUUUAGUACCCAGCAUGCAUGAUCCAGAGUGGCUCUGUUGGAGAUCUUGUUUCUCUGGUGAGGUGCACACGUUUCUGCUCUUAAGCCAUAGCAAUUACUUCCUCAUAAAGUCCGUAGUACCUUUAGUUUCUUUUAUUUCACAGAAACUACUAGUAUAAGAAAACACUUUGUCCAGCAAACUGGAUUGGAUUGUGCUUAUAGAUGUACUCAACUUUUUUUGUGUAUGUGUGUUAAAGGCAGCUGUUCUCACUAAUUGGAGAACUUGUCUGAGGCUCUGCACACCUGGGGUUCCCACACCACUGUAACCAGAGCUGUAUAGUGCUUUAAAGAAAAGUUACUCUAUUGAGACAUGGAAGAAUCUAUCAUACACAAUGUCAGUUUAUGGGAUGAUUUUAUUGUAAAAGUUACUUGCAGAAGUGUAACCAUAUAAUUCUGAAAGGAUUGGUGUGGGCUGUCCCAAGAUGAGAGACAUGUCUGCACCACAUUUUAAAAUGAGUUUGAGAUCUUGCUGUUACUUUAGGGCCUGAGAAUCAGAUUUUAUAUUUUAGAAUUACUGUUCCUUGGCCAUUAUCAUCUUACUGUGUUGGCAGCUUAGGAAUUUUUUUUUAUAGGCUGUAAAUCAAAUACCAUAUUUUAAGUGUUUGGGGCAUUAAGAUCUGUGUCUUAUGCCUUUAAAGAAUUAUGGUCUCAUGAUUAUUGACCUGUAGUUUCAGUGUUGCUUCUUACUUGGUCCUUAUGACUAACUUUAAAGUUUCUUAUGACGCAAAACAUUUAUGCUCUGUCUGGAGAAGAUUCAGGGCUGUUUUAUCAUGUGUAGACUUAGGUGAUUUUGCCUCAGAUGAACUGGCUGAAAGAUUCACUGGGUGUUCUUUUCAUUAGUGCUUCUCUUUUGGAACCUUGAAAUUUUCCUGAUCCAUUUCUUACUAUAUAUGUAUACAUUCUCAGCGGAUCAGUUGACUCUGAGCCAUUCAGUUACUGAUGAGUUAGUUGUCCUAUUUGUGGAUUUCGUUGCUAGUUUCACUGGACUAUUUGUAUCACCUGGACAGGCUUUUCUUGACAAUCCUUGGUUCUUUUUCUGGAUGAGGAGCCUUGGUUUUUUUUUUUUUUUUUUUCUUUAUAAAAUGUAUUUAUUAGCAGAGUGGAGAGAGUGAAAACAUGAUAUGGCACAUGUGAUGCCAAGGACCUCAUGCCUGAGAGUCCAGUGCUCUAUCCACUGCACCACUUCGGGCUA